CACGUAGGGCGCAAGCGUUGUCCGGAAUUACUGGGCGUAAAGGGCUCGUAGGCGGCCAACUAAGUCAGACGUGAAAUCCCUCAGCUUAACUGGGGAACUGCGUCUGAUACUGGAUGGCUUGGAUUUGGGAGAGGGAUGCGGAAUUCCAGGUGUAGCGGUGAAAUGCGUAGAUAUCUGGAGGAACACCGGUGGCGAAGGCGGCAUCCUGGACCAAUAUUGACGCUGAGGAGCGAAAGCCAGGGGAGCAAACGGG
This 253-nucleotide ribosomal RNA is filed under the name uncultured bacterium. RNAcentral describes it as "partial 16S ribosomal RNA". It matches the Rfam family "Bacterial small subunit ribosomal RNA", at positions 524 to 776 of the family's 1533-position model. The record is from RNAcentral.